AGUAGUAACAUCUUAGUUAUCGAGAAAACCACUAAUAAAAUUACCAAUCAAUUAUAAUGUUAAAGCACUUCUACAAUAACAGUAACUUUUUUAUUUUCGUGGUUUUUGGAAUUACGAAAAAUUAGUCAGAAACUUCAUCUGAUUCAUCAAUACUUUCUAUUAUCACCUUUUGAUUAGUAUAUACCACUCCAAACCUGUUUUGUAAAGUAUAUUAGUCAACGAGAUACAAAGAUUAAUCCUUCAACCAACUCGAGUAUUUCUGUGUUCAAUACCAACUACAUUUUAGAUAAAAUAGAGAAACCAUAAAUCUAAAAAAUCACCAAUAUCAAGAUUAGACAGUAUGCAUUAUAAACUGCUUGUUGUGAUUUUUAUUUUAAAUAUAGUGAUGGGGUGUAAAAGUGAUACUAACUCGAGAAUAUGGAAUCCUGAUGAACUUGAGGAGUUGUUAAGGCAAAUUGAAGAAAGAAAACAUUUUAUCAAAGCUACAGUCCAUCCUAAGAUUGAAGUAAACAUGAGAAACCUUCUUCAAUUUAGAUGUUUUCCGGGAUAUGUACAUGUAAGGGGAAAAUGCAGGGAAAUUCAACAGUAAACUAAAUGUCCAUACUUGGGAUGUUUUGUGAUAUUAAUGUAGGCUGUAAACUGUAGGAUUAUCUCAACAGUAUUAAAUAUUAUCUUUCUGUAGUUAAGAAAAGUAGAUUAACGAGUAACUAUCAUUUCCAGAAAAAUAUUAAUGAUUAUUUAAUAAACCUUCAUUAAUAGAAAACCAUAAGUAGUCCACUUACUGACGGUAAAUAUUGCAAAACCUCCAAAUUUUAAAGAACCGCUUAGAUCGAUAUGAAAUUUGGCAUACAUAUAGAUAACAUGCCAAAAAAGUGAUAUUGUGCCGAUGUGUGCGGGUUUUCACCCCUUGUCAGUUGUGAAAAAAUAUAUGUUCAAAAUAAGUCCCGAAAUAAAUAAACUGUCUGAUUCUAAACAACUUUUAUUCCAUUGCGUUUUUUCACUAAGUUAAUAUUUUUCGAGUUAUUUGCUAGUGAAUAUAUUUAUUUUUCAACAAAAAACUUAAGCACUUUAUGGGGAAAACUGAUUACAUCUUUUUGAAAGCGUUUAAAAAGGCUUUAUUUUUGUUUUUUUAAAGAAGCUUAUAGCUUCAAAAAUAGGCAAGUUUCGCCCAAAAUAAAGUUGGUUCCUUUUUUUGGUAAACAAAUCAUGAAAAUCGCCCCCUAAUUAGCAUCCCAAAGGAAAUUAUUUGUUACCGCUUUACUGGUGAAUAUAUUGUUUAUAUGAUCUGUAAGUUUCUUCGGUUCAAAGUCCUUAUUUCUGAAAAGGCUGUAGUUGAAAGGGCUUGAAGGAGUCACUAAUCAUGAGUGUAUGCACAUUUUGAACAGCCAUAUCUUAACCAAUUUUUGUCUUACAGGAAAACAAAAAAAAUCCAAAAUAUUCAGAAAAGCAAAAUUUGAUUUUUUUUUACUGUUUGAGAUUUUUGGUAUCACUAAAAUUUUUUAAGUGAUUUCAAAGUUGUAAAAAAGCAUUUUUUCAAAAUUAAAAAAAUUUUAUUUUAGAACCCAAUUUUUUCAAAAAUAAGCAGUUUGAACCAGACACUUACAUAUCAUAUAAAUAAAGAACUUGUGAAGCGGUAACGAUUAAUUUUAUUUGAGAUGCUAAUUAGGGGUUGAUUUUCCUGAUUUUUUUUUUACAAAAAAGUAACUAACAUUAUUUAACCGUAAGUUGCUUACUUUUGAUGCUAGAAACUCUUUUUAAAAAACAAAAAUAAAGCUUUUUUUAAACACUUUAAAAAAGUUGGAAUGAGUUUUCAUGAGCAUAUUCACUUGCAAAUGACUCGAAAAGUAUUAACUUAGUGAAAAAACGCUAUAGAAUAAAGGUUACUUAGAAUUAGUCAGUUUGUCCAUUUCAGGACUUAUUUUGAACGUAUAUUUUUUCACCCCGAGAAGGGGUGAAAGUCACCCCUAGGGCAAAAGUACCCAUCGGCACAAUAUCUCUUUUUUCUUUGACAUGUUAGCUAUGCUCCAACUGGUUCGUUAAAAUUUGGAGCAAAAACCGUUAGUAAAUGGACUAAAGUUAUUGACCGCCGAUAUUGAUUCGAAUAUUUUUGUGUCAUCUAAUAAGUUUUUUCUUUCUCUCUAUUUUCCCAUGUUUCUUAACUUUUCCUCAUACUACUGAAAGUUCUAAUUUUGAUAAAUAAUUUAUUAUAUACUGAAUGAUUGAGUGAAUUUAUUUAAUUAUUUUCUUGGAGCACAAGAUGAAUAAUCGUAAUUAUAAUCUAUUUUUAAUAUUGUGAUAAACAUUGUAUUUGAUUACACUUUUACUGUUAUCUCUUAAAAACAAUAAAUAUAUAUAUGUAGUUAAAAUUAA
Diabrotica virgifera virgifera (western corn rootworm) is the source of this 2370-nucleotide long non-coding RNA. RefSeq lists it as uncharacterized. Lineage: Eukaryota; Metazoa; Arthropoda; Insecta; Coleoptera; Chrysomelidae. The record is from RefSeq and is a predicted model, not a curated record. The transcript is spliced from 2 exons.